RNAcentral lists this long non-coding RNA (6070 nucleotides) under Homo sapiens (human). Its description in RNAcentral is "HSALNT0078529". The record is from RNAcentral. Lineage: Eukaryota; Metazoa; Chordata; Mammalia; Primates; Hominidae.
UGCAAAUCCACUUUACAGUGCCAGUGCCCAAGGCUGUAAGCCCUGGAGCUUGGAGAGAAAUUUGGAAGAAAAGCAAGAGAAACAGCAACCAAAUUGUCUUAGAAUGUAGAAUGUCUUUGGGUUGUUUUCUCUUUUCAAACAAUGACAACCAACAUACAGUUCAUUAUUUCCGUUUUCUAAACAGAGGACCAUGUUCCUACUUGGCGAUAUGGGGCUAACAUAAAGAAUAAAAGUAAGAUAGGCUGGUUGGGGGCAUUGGCUCAGGCCUUUAAGUGGAAAAUGGAUUUUGUGUACAUGGCUUUAGGACUACCCUUGAGAUUACAAAGGAAAUAGGAAAACAUGGCUAUGCUUGCAGACUGUAAUCAUCUUGGCGCAUAGGUAUAUGUGCUCAUAUUAAAAUAAUGGCCACUUGUGAAUGACUGAUUGUUGGAGGAGUGUGAAGGGAUGUUCCUGCCAGAAACUGACCUUAGAGAUCUCUUGAGUGAAUAGCUGAGGGAUUGCUGAUAGGAAACAGAGAAGUGAAAGCCGCUCUUCUAAGUUUGUACGUGGUCUCUCUCCAAAACAAACCAACGGGUUCUAAGACCCUGAGUACCUUAGGACUUGCUGCUAAUUGAAAUUUGAGCAGGACUGGCACCUUAGCAAUCUUCACUCUGGCUCUAUGUCACAGGCUAGAGUAAACAUACAGAAUAAUACAGAUGUAUAGAUUUACAAAUUUGGAAGUACAAACUUUGGAAUUAUUGAACACUUGUUCUCAAUUGCUAAAGAUCCUUUAAUCAAGCAUAUCCUCGCCAGGGUACUGAACAAAGCUGGAUGAAAACUUUGCAGGGCAUAGCAAUUUUGGGGAUGAGAAAACUGAAGUUAAGAAAUAUGUAUGAAAUUCAAGGAUAGCUAAUAACUUACUGAAGACCCUGCAGCUGGAGAUAAAACGUUCUGAAGCUAACAGGCCACUGCCUUGGCAACAGUAGAAAAAAAUAUGAGAUCAGAAUGUUGGCUGUGAUCUUGAGAUGGCUUUCUUGUGCCCAUUUCAUUCGGUGAGUGUCAACAUGUAGGCAAAAUUGCAUAAGGUUUAAGAGCUCAGGUUUGGAUUCAAAUAGGCUUUGCUUUGGUUCCUAGUUCUAGUGUUGACCAUAUGACCUUAAACAGACUACUUAACUUUACAUGUCUGAAUUUCAAGAUCGUUUGAAGAUUAAAUGUUUCAUGUCAAGGGCUUAGUACAGGUCUUGGCACAUAAAGCGCUCCAUGAAUGGUCACUGUGAAUAUGUACCUUACUGUGGAUCAGAGUUUCUCAGCUUCUGUACUAUCGACAUUUUGGGCUAGAUAAUGCUUUGUUGUGCAGAGACUGUCCUGUACAUUGUAGGAUAUUUAGCAGCAUCUCUGCUCUCUUACCCACUAGGUGCCAGUAGCAGCGUCAAUUCCCCGUUCCCCUCACCCCACCCUACCCCUGGCCCCCAAGUUGUGACAACCAAAACUAUCUCCAGAUGUUGCCAAAUGUCCAGUUGGUGAUUGGGGAACAAAACAUCUGAGGUUGAGAACCACUGCUUUAGAUCAAUCCAAGUUCUAGCAGAUGAGAAUAACUCCAUUCUUCUUUUGAUGUAUUUAUUAAUAUUUUUAAGCCUUGAAAUGAAAAAUUGCUUUUUAAGCAUUAGAAAAUGCAUACUCUUCUUUUGAAAGCCUAGCAAUAAAUCCCAUAACUAUCAGGGUCUUCGUUUCCUCAUCUUGAGCCUUAUUUCAAGGCUCCCUCUGUUCUAAAUUCUGACCUUGAAAACUCUAUUCCUACCUCUUUCUUUUUUUGGACAGGGUCUCACUCUGUCGCCCAGGCUGGAGUUCAGUGGCGCAAUCACAGCUAACUGUACCCUCGACCUCCUGGACUCAAGAGAUCCUUCCACCUCAGCCUCCUAAGUAGCUGGGACCACACUUGACUAAUUUUUGUAUCUAUAUCUUUCAUUUCACCAAAGAUUUAAAACAAUUUCUCACUAUGAAGAAACUUAUACAAGCAAUAUACAUUCAACAGGAAAAAUGAGGAAAUUCAGAUAAGCAAAAAAAGAAAGAAAGGAAAAGAAGUAUCAGUUGUGUUUCCAUUAGUUAGAACUACCUAGGGCUAACAUGAUGAUGAGUGGGUUUUCAGAUGUUUUUGGAAUGCAUGUUUGUGUGUACAUACACAAAUAUACAUGCAGUCACACAAUACACACAUUUUAUUUCUUGUGUGCUUAUCAUUUUUUCAUGGUAUAUCAUUUUUUCAUGGUCAUUAGUUCUAGCUAUCUCCAGACUUGAUGCUAGACUAUACAUUUUUUCUCAUGUAUGACAUUCCUCAAGAAGUGGUUCGACUCAUAUGUCUUUCUUUACCUACCACCUAGAUAAGCCCCAAAUUCACACUGUUACUCCUUUAUUUCUCCACAGAAAAAUAACUUUCAUUACAUGUACAAAUGACAAUUAAGCCAAUUAGAGUAAACAACUUUUGGUCAAUUCAGCUCUCACUUUGCCAGGAACCAAUGGCCAUCCUCAGUUUUUUUUAAGUAUGGAGGUUUGGAAGUCAAAUUUGACGCCUUUCUUCCUUUCCUGUCCCCACCCCUGCCCACAGUCACUUCCACAAUCUCUUGCUUUUUCUUUGGACCUAUUUCCAGGGUCACACGCAGUCAGGUCCUAAUUAUUUUGUUCCAGGUAUGCUGUUUCCUAGCAUCUCUCCUGCCAAUCACUUUGAUCGAGAUAGUACUCUCCUCUUUUCAGAAACCUACAAUGACUACCCAUUGCUUCUUGUAUCACAAGCUGAAUCUCUCUAAUGAGCUUUGAGGGGCUUCCACACUCCCCUGGGUCCUCCUCCCUGAGCUGUGUCUUCCUCAGGUUGCACUUUUUGUUCCUUAUUAACCCUUCGCAACCCAGUUUCCCUACUCCCCUUUCUGAUCAACAGUCCAUUAAAAAUAAGGUAAAACAAUGCACAGUGCUGACGUCUUUUUAAAAAGAAGAAAACCCUAGGACACUAAUACAAUUAUCCUUUUGCUUAUGCUUCAGUUAUCGGUUGUAACUACUUGUUACAUUAAUUGGGUGUAUCUUUGUUACAGAGGAUUAAUAAAUGUUUUAUUUAUUUAUUUUAGUUUCAAAAACAUGCCUUGAAAUUUCACCAGAUUGGGUGAAACGUGUUUACAAUACUAGGAAGUGAACAGCAGGCACUAAUUUUUUGUAGCAGUAUUUCUCAUCAAGGCACAUGCAUUUACCUAAUCCAAAAGAUGGCUAGCUUUCUCAGUUAAAAGGUAUACAGAGAAAUAACCCUUGCAUUUGAUCAUUGUAACUUGGACAACAUUUCACUCUAUUGAAUAUAAACGGGAAUCUGUAUGCUGUUAUUAUUUUAAAAAAAAUUUUUUAAUCCAGCUUUUAGUAGAGGAUAAACUUCUUAAUGGCAAGGACCAUGGCUUUUACUUCCUUUGUGAGGCUCACAAUAAUGGGAACACAGCUUCAUGUGCAAUUGGUCUUCAAUAAAUGUUGCUAGGUGAUUCAUAUUUGAAUGGGAAAUGGAAAGAAAAGCCUGACGGACUUAAAGGAUUUGUGUGCAUGCAUCUUGCUGUGAAUAAUACAAAUGUGGAGAGAGAUGACUAAGUGGACAGCAUAGGGCAUAGAGAGCUUUGGCCCCUGAAAUACUCAGUAACAGGAAGUUACAGUGUGACUAACUGUAACCAGGUUGUGAAAUGGAAAGCAGAGGAACUGGAGGAUGUACUGGAAGAACUCAGGGGUGCACACAGAAGUGAACUGCAGCAUCAAAGAUGUAAUGCCUUUCCGGGUGAGAACUUCAGAAGGAAGGACAGCACAGGGGACAAAGGAAGGGAUAGAAAUGAUAAGUGUCUUAAAAUGAAAAGGUGAUGGAAAGAAUUCUUAAGGCAGAAAUAAAAAUCCUAUCAAUAACAAGGUUGGGUUUAGAGUUAAAAAAAUAAUCACACGGCCGGGCACAGUGGUUCAUGCCUGUAAUCCCAGCACUUUGGGAGGCUGAGGUGGGUAGAUCACCUAAGGUCAGGAGUUUGAGACCAGUCUGGCCAACAUGGCAACACCCCGUCUAUACUAAAAAUAUUAAAAAAAUUAGCCGGGCAUGGUGGUGGGCGCCUGUAAUCCCAGCUACUCAGGAGACUGAGGCAGGAAGAAUUGCUUGAACCCAGAAGGUAGACGUUGCAGUGAGCUGAGAUUGUGCCACUGCACUCCAGCCUGGGAGACAGAGUGAGACUCCAUCUCAAAAAAUAAAUAAAUAAAUAAAUAAAUAAAUAAUCACGCAGAUAUUUUGUUUCCUACUUUAAAUAAAAGCAAGGCUUCACAUUUGACCACAGAAUGUUGUAUUGCUUCUCUGCUAUGUGGCACAGCUUUGAUAUCAGGUCCAGGACUGCUAAGUGAAAGAAAAGAAAUUUCUGGUAUGUUUGGAGCCUAUGAUUUCAUCCCUCCUCUCACUCCAGCACAUCUGAUCUAUGUAUCCUCAAAAAUGGAGCUGCUCACCUUUGCCAGCUCAGUUCUUCCCAUCCUAAGCUUUCCUGAGCCAGUACCACUUAAGCAUGUUAUAAAAUGCCAAAGCCAUUCAUGGUCAUUAUGGUGUCCACAAAUAUGUUCACAAAUUCUUGACACUCCCUUCAGAAGGGAGAACCUAAUCCCUCUCUCCUGGAGUGUGGCUGGACUUAAAUUAUUUUGCUUCUAAUGAAUGAAACAAUGAAGAAACGAAGGUGUGUGAUUUCGAUAGUAUGUCAUGAAAUGAACUGUGGCUUCCUCCUUGGUCUCUCUUGAAGCUGACUCAGGGGAAGCCAGCUGCCAUGUCAUGAGAAAACUUAAGCAGCCCUGUGGGGAGGUCCAUGUGGUGAGGAACUGAGGCCUCCAGUCAGCAGCCAUGGGAGGGAGCCACAUAUGAAGUAGAGUCUCCAGCCCCAGUCAAGCCUUCAGAUGACUGCAGCCCACUUGACAGCUUCACGGUAGCCUUAUGGAAGAGCCUGAGCCAUAACCACCCAGCUAAGCUGCUCCUGCAUUCCCUUGAAAACCAUGUAAGAUAAUAAAUGUUUGUUGUUUGAAGUGGCUAUGUUUUGAGCAUAAGUUGUUACACAGCAAUAGAUAACUAAUAUGGUAAUCUUUCCAAUAGAGCUCUUCUUUACUUUGGAGUUAAGUUUUUAAGUUUUAUUAAAAGGUCUUUUCAUUAUUUUGGAAUAUGUGUUUACCUGCAUUUAAUAUGUAAAUGGAUCAGAUGUUAUAAAAUGUUCAGGUAAAUUAAAUCCCACCUUCUUUUUUAGCUUCUGAUUUUAACAAAGAGAAAUGAUUUUUCUCAUCUACUGAGGUACCAGAAACAAUGAGGGUACUGUAAGGCCUCAAAGAGUCUAACAGACCUCUAGAGUUAGGAGUGGGGAGUGGCUAGAUUAUGUCUUGAGAUGUUUUCCUCAUUUAAAAUCAUUUAACAUAAACAAAAAAGAUGGCAUUUUAAUAUUGUACUUUAAAAUAUGAAAAAUAAAUAGUUUUUAUUUUAAAUAGAGGUAAAUUAUGCAGGAGGAACAAUCUUGUCAGAGCCAAGAUUGAUUUUUUUUAAAAAAAUCACCAGUGAAACUUGCUAACAGUUGGCUUUUAAAAGAGAACAGUAAUACACUUUUACCAUUUUGUUUACAGUCCCUGUCUAUAAAAUUUUCACAUAUAUAUGAUAAUAUAUUUCUUCCAGAAUCUUUCUAUCUUUGUAUGCACAAUGCCUAGACACCACAGGCACAUAAAAUAUGUUGAAUGAAUGAAUGAAUGAAUGAAACUGGCUUAAAGGAAAACUGAAGAAACUUACACUCUCCUAGAGGAUUAAAAAAGUACAAAUCACACGAUAUGAUUAAUGUUUUUAAUUUUAAAAACACAGUACAUCCUAUGGGUCUGAUACUAUUUUAAAUGCUUAACGUAAACUAAUACACAGAGUCAUCCUAAUAUCUCUAUUGAUUAUCAUCCCCUAUCUUUCCUUUUUUUUUUUUUUUUGAGAUGGAGUCUUGCCCUGUCGCCCAGGCUGGAGUGCAGUGGCGCGAUCUCAGCUCACUGCAAGCUCCUCCUCCUGGGUUCACGCCAUUCUCCUGCCACAGCCUCCCGAGUAGCUGGA